UUCCGCAUAACGUGCUUUACAGUGAAAUCUUACAGCGGCGAAACCAAAACACGUUCGGAGCAUGGCAAAGAAGGGAGAUUUACACAUAAAUUGAUGAGGAUCCUGUGCCAGUGGAUGCCUAGCAUCUGUAACAUCAUUAUUGUUCAGUUCCACAACCCACGGCAGAUGAUUAAUGCACCCGAUCAGGCUGACAGUCUCCGUGAGGAGGUGGAGUGACUGAAAGGAGACUGCUUCCAUGCUGCUUUUGGUGUUAUACAGCUCUAAAGGUUCACAACUUGCAUCCUACAACAUCCAGAGUAACAUGUCCAGAGUAAGCGCAACUGUGAGGGAGACACCGUCCAUGGCUGAGGGUCCACACUGAGCAAUUCAUUCGCAGCAUGAAGCAACACAAGCUGGACAGUCUUCAUCUCUUUCUAUUACAGCAAGCAACCAAACCAGAUUUAUACAAUGGCUUGCCUUUUGCACAUUAGUAAAAGCUUGAGCUAAAUAUUAAAGUUCACACACUGUACAUAAUUUAUAUGUUGUUGCCUGCACUGCAGGAAUAUAAAGUUGUCAAUAUAAUAAACAUUAAUUUUCAGCAUAUUCAUUUAAACAUAUAUUACAGAACAAUUUGAGUGAACAAUUGCUCUAACUAUUGUAAAUAUGAAUAAUUUUAGAU
This 658-nucleotide long non-coding RNA is filed under the name Danio rerio (zebrafish). Its description in RNAcentral is "lncRNA si:dkey-108f8.7 (ENSDARG00000092040.2)". The record is from RNAcentral. Lineage: Eukaryota; Metazoa; Chordata; Actinopteri; Cypriniformes; Danionidae.